Molecule: long non-coding RNA, 247 nt
Organism: Hippocampus comes (tiger tail seahorse)
Lineage: Eukaryota; Metazoa; Chordata; Actinopteri; Syngnathiformes; Syngnathidae
Exons: 3
Source: RefSeq, a predicted model, not a curated record
UUUCCAGGUCCCUCUGCGUUACCUCUUAGCUAUGCUGUUUGUCAACUUCAAGCCAUUGUGGGAUACUGUCAUUGAGCUACUUGGGAGCCACGCCAAGGGGAUGGACAACAAAGACUUCUGGGUGGUGUAUCAUGAACAUCUCGAGAUGGUGGCAGUAUUAGCUGAAGAACAACUUCAGGAGGGUGGUGAUGACAGCGAUGAUGAAAUAGAAGACACGGAGGUCCAGGCUGGGCCGGGUUGCGACGUC